CACGGCAGGGACCAACAGAUUAUGGAGUACCUGCAGGUGCGAGAAACUUCGGUGGUCCAGACUCACCUUUCCAGAAGUGUGUCUCAGGGUCUCCCAAAUACACCACGUCCACUCUCAACCCCUUAUCUGAGCUACCAGAACGAGG
This is a long non-coding RNA of Sinocyclocheilus rhinocerous, 145 nucleotides long. RefSeq lists it as uncharacterized. The record is from RefSeq and is a predicted model, not a curated record. The transcript is spliced from 3 exons. Lineage: Eukaryota; Metazoa; Chordata; Actinopteri; Cypriniformes; Cyprinidae.